CCUGGUUAACUAUAAGAGGUCAAGCCUGCCCAGUGACAUUGUUCAACGGCCGCGGUAUCCUAACCGUGCGAAGGUAGCGUAAUCACUUGUUCUUUAAAUGGGGACUAGUAUGAACGGCUUCACGAGGGCUAUGCUGUCUCCUUUAUCCAAUCAGUUAAACUAAUCUCCCCGUGAAGAAGCGGGGAUAUUCAUAUAAGACGAGAAGACCCUAUGGAGCUUUAAACAUUUAAAAUAUUCGAAUUUUAUACUUUAACUCUCAGAAAACUUCAUUAAGCAUGUCGUUUUAUUUUAAGUUUUAGGUUGGGGUGACCACGGAGAACAACCUAACCUCCACGUAGAAAGAAAUUUCCUUUCCAAGCAAAAAGCCACAUCUUUAUGCAUCAAAAUAUUGACCUGAAUUGACCCAAUUAUUUGAUCAACGAAC
RNAcentral lists this ribosomal RNA (424 nucleotides) under Allobates sp. divisor ABGD cluster 46. Its description in RNAcentral is "partial large subunit ribosomal RNA". It matches the Rfam family "Bacterial large subunit ribosomal RNA", at positions 1834 to 2457 of the family's 2925-position model. Lineage: Eukaryota; Metazoa; Chordata; Amphibia; Anura; Aromobatidae. The record is from RNAcentral.